Anastrepha ludens (Mexican fruit fly) is the source of this 216-nucleotide long non-coding RNA. RefSeq lists it as uncharacterized. The record is from RefSeq and is a predicted model, not a curated record. NCBI's taxonomy places the organism in Eukaryota, Metazoa, Arthropoda, Insecta, Diptera, Tephritidae. The transcript has 3 exons.
CUUCGAAGCGGUGUGCCGUAAAGUGGUGAAUAAUGUGCAUGGUUUGCAUUUUAAUUAUGCGUACUGUUUAUUUUUCACGCACAUACUCACUUAUGCAAAUGUGCAACGAUUACGAUGACGAUUGAUUGACAGUGGGUCACUGACGCCGAUACUACAAUGCCCGCCGAUUGAGAAGCCCCGCUGCGACCUUCCUAGAGGAAUUAAGUGUACAUCCGC